Molecule: ribosomal RNA, 579 nt
Filed under: Neoehrlichia mikurensis
Lineage: Bacteria; Pseudomonadati; Pseudomonadota; Alphaproteobacteria; Rickettsiales; Anaplasmataceae
Description: bacterial SSU rRNA
Rfam family: Bacterial small subunit ribosomal RNA
Source: RNAcentral
CCGCCUGGGGACUACGGUCGCAAGACUAAAACUCAAAGGAAUUGACGGGGACCCGCACAAGCGGUGGAGCAUGUGGUUUAAUUCGAUGCAACGCGAAAAACCUUACCACUUUUUGACAUGAAGGUCGUAUCUUUUUUAACCGGAAGAGUCAGUUUGGCUGGACCUUACACAGGUGCUGCAUGGCUGUCGUCAGCUCGUGUCGUGAGAUGUUGGGUUAAGUCCCGCAACGAGCGUAACCCUUGUCCUUAGUUGCCAACAGGUAAUGCUGGGAACUCUAAGGAAACUGCCAGUGAUAAACUGGAGGAAGGUGAGGAUGAUGUCAAGUCAGCACGGCCCUUAUAAGGUGGGCUACACACGUGCUACAAUGGUAACUACAAUAGGUUGCAAGAUCGCAAGAUUGAGCUAAUCCAUAAAAGUUAUCUCAGUUCGGAUUGUUCUCUGUAACUCGAGAGCAUGAAGCCGGAAUCGCUAGUAAUCGUGGAUCAGCAUGCCACGGUGAAUACGUUCUCGGGUCUUGUACACACUGCCCGUCAUGCCCUGGAAAUUGGUUUAACUCGAAGCUGGUGAGCUAACCGAAAG